This 72-nucleotide transfer RNA is filed under the name Neocystis brevis. Its description in RNAcentral is "tRNA-His". It matches the Rfam family "tRNA". From Rfam's summary of the family: Transfer RNA (tRNA) molecules are approximately 80 nucleotides in length. Their secondary structure includes four short double-helical elements and three loops (D, anti-codon, and T loops). The record is from RNAcentral. Lineage: Eukaryota; Viridiplantae; Chlorophyta; Chlorophyceae; Sphaeropleales; Radiococcaceae.
GCGGGCGUAGCCAAGCGGUAAGGCAGUGGAUUGUGACUCCAUUAUUCGCGGGUUCAAUUCCCGUCGUUCGCC